CUGCAGCCAAUUAAGCCGACUGAGUUCCUUUCCUCAUGGGGGCCCAGUGUGCAAUGGCUGCAAACAGCAGCUUCCCUGAUAGUGAUGCAGCCUGUUUGUUGUAUGGGUUGCUCUAAGGGACCUUGGAGACAGAC
RNAcentral lists this small nucleolar RNA (134 nucleotides) under Piliocolobus tephrosceles (Ugandan red Colobus). RNAcentral's name for it is "Small nucleolar RNA SNORA70 (ENSPTEG00000019908.1)". It matches the Rfam family "Small nucleolar RNA SNORA70". From Rfam's summary of the family: snoRNA U70 seems to be exclusive to mammals and is a member of the H/ACA class of snoRNA which contain H (ANANNA) and ACA box motifs. H/ACA box snoRNAs are involved in the conversion of uridines to pseudouridines (5-ribosyluracil) a constituent of structural RNAs (transfer, ribosomal, small nuclear, and small nucleolar). Lineage: Eukaryota; Metazoa; Chordata; Mammalia; Primates; Cercopithecidae. The record is from Rfam by way of RNAcentral.